UACGGAGGGUGCAAGCGUUAUCCGGAUUCACUGGGUUUAAAGGGUGCGUAGGCGGGUGUGAAAGUCAGUGGUGAAAUCUCAGAGCUAACUCUGAAGCUGCCAUUGAUACUUUGCAUCUUGAAUUUUCUGGAGGUUAGCGGAAUAUGUCAUGUAGCGGUGAAAUGCUUAGAUAUGACAUAGAACACCGAUUGCGAAGGCAGCUGACUACGGAUGAAUUGACGCUGAGGCACGAAAGCGUGGGGAUCAAACAGG
This 252-nucleotide ribosomal RNA is filed under the name uncultured bacterium. RNAcentral's name for it is "partial 16S ribosomal RNA". It matches the Rfam family "Bacterial small subunit ribosomal RNA", at positions 524 to 776 of the family's 1533-position model. The record is from RNAcentral.